UACGUAGGGGGCAAGCGUUGUCCGGAAUCAUUGGGCGUAAAGCGCGUGUAGGCGGUUCGGUAAGUCGAUUGUGAAAGCCCUGGGCUUAACCUGGGAAUUGCAGUCGAUACUGCUCGGCUAGAGUAUGGGAGAGGGUAGUGGAAUUCCCGGUGUAGCGGUGAAAUGCGUAGAUAUCUGGAGGAACACCGGUGGCGAAGGCGGCAUCCUGGACCAACACUGACACUGAGGAGCGAAAGCCAGGGGAGCAAACGGG
This 253-nucleotide ribosomal RNA is filed under the name uncultured bacterium. RNAcentral describes it as "partial 16S ribosomal RNA". It matches the Rfam family "Bacterial small subunit ribosomal RNA", at positions 524 to 776 of the family's 1533-position model. The record is from RNAcentral.